CAAUAGCGUAUAUUUAAGUUGUUGCAGUUAAAAAGCUCGUAGUUGGAUUUCGGGUUGGCUUCAGCGGUCUCGCUUUGCGUUUGUACUGCCGCAGCCUUCCUUCUUGCUGGGGACGGUCCUCCGGGCUUCAUUGCUUGGGGUCUGGAAUCAGCGACGUUACUUUGAGUAAAUUAGAGUGUUCAAAGCAAGCCUACGCUCUGAAUAUAAUAGCAUGGGAUAACACGACAGGACUCUGGCCUAUCGUGUUGGUCUGUAGGACCAGAGUAAUGAUUAAGAGGGACAGUCGGGGGCAUUCGUAUUCCGUUGUCAGAGGUGAGAUUCUUGGAUUUACGGAAGACGAACAUCUGCGAAAGCAUUUGCCAAGGAUGUUUUCAUUGA
This 378-nucleotide ribosomal RNA is filed under the name uncultured eukaryote. RNAcentral's name for it is "partial 18S ribosomal RNA". It matches the Rfam family "Eukaryotic small subunit ribosomal RNA", at positions 592 to 976 of the family's 1831-position model. The record is from RNAcentral.